Mytilus californianus (California mussel) is the source of this 2073-nucleotide long non-coding RNA. RefSeq lists it as uncharacterized. The transcript has 2 exons. The record is from RefSeq and is a predicted model, not a curated record. Lineage: Eukaryota; Metazoa; Mollusca; Bivalvia; Mytilida; Mytilidae.
UGAAUUAUGCUUCAAUGAACGGAAUUUUAUUGAUUACUAUAGAUCUAUCGCCUAUUUAGUUCAAAAUAGAUUACGUUGAAGAUUGAGAAUAAAAUGGCUAAUUCUAUUCACAUAUCUAAUGCUAGUUCCCACAAUGUUUACGUGAAAGUACUUUGUGAUACAGCAUACCGACAAACUUCGAAUAUUGGAGUUGGUGCCACCGCUGGCUCAUUUGGUGGAAUUGAGAUACAUGCAGAUGAAGAAAAAAAAUGGAGCUUAGCGGAUAAAGUCGGAUACACUACUGUGAAUAGAUAUUCUUCUAUGCAAUUCUAUCCAGAUUCAUCAAAAGAAGUCUGCUACGUGACAAUAAAAGUCAAAACAGAAAAAUAUCUUUGUGAAAAUCAUCCUUUGGGUCUAAAAUGCGGAUUAAUUAUCGACAGUUCCUGCUAUAUGCACAGUGCAAAAAAAGGUUUAUAUUGGACAGACAUUGAUGGAAUAUGUCAUAAACCAGAUCUAAAAAACAAGAGAAAUCUACCGAAAGAUUUAGAAUGUUCUCUCUUCCUUAAUUGAGAGGUGCCUUUGGAAUAAAAAAAAAACUAUACAUUCCGAAAUGAUUUUCUGAUAAUAUGAUUUGAAUAUGUGAAUCUGGUUUAGACUCUUUUUAAUUAUUGUACAAAUUAUUGCUUGCCGUUGAAAAGGGAAUAGUCUUAAUAUUAUAGUAAUUUCCGGAUAUCUGCACUAACAAAGUGUACAAUACCCCGGGUCAAUUUCCGUAGACUAGGAAAAUAUUUAAAAAAAAACCUUCACCGAGUACUGCUGUUUGUCUUAUGUACUCAGAGAAAAUUCAUGGUGUAAACACAGUAAUUCUUGUCAAAGUGUAUUGCUGAACCUAAGAAUACACUUUCAUCGAUUUUAUCCAUUUUGAAACACCAAACGCAUGUAAAGGUUUCCACGGGGAAAAUAUGAUUAGUCUUAGCGCACGCAAAAAUUAUGAUACGCAUACGCUGUGUUGUUUACCUUCAGCUGUACUUUAUUUUUGUCUAUUGUUUAAGUUGAGCUACUGUUUAAAGAGGCCAACACGUAGGACGAAUUUUAAUGUAAAGAAAAUUUAUUCACAAAACAAUUUGCACACUUGUUUUUAUUAAAGUUUGUAUUUGUUUGCUUUCUUCACCUUUUUUGACGUGUUCAAUAAUGUUUUAAGUAAGAUACAAGCCUCUGACAGUCCAUUCUGUAAAAUAUUAGACAGGUCUUCGGCCUGCAGCCUCAGACUUGUCUAAUAUUUUACAGUAUGGACUUUUAUCGGCUAAUAUCCCUUACAGGAAUAAAGAUCUUUGUCAGGUAGUUGCUAAAACCUUUUUCAGUAUUUAAUAUAGAAAAACAACGUUCUUGUGUAUAUGUAGCUGGUGGUGCAAUUUAAAUCUGAAAUAUAUCUGUUCUGUAUAGUAGUGUAAAUAAGAUGUGAAAUAUUGUAUAUAUAUAGAUUCAUUGCAUCGAGUGUGAUACGAUAUUUAUCCACUCGAGACAGUUAAAUCUUCAAAUUUAAAACGCGAGGCUCGUCGAGCGUUUUAAAUGUUUAAAAUUUAACUGUCGAGAGUGGAUUUUUGCACGAGAUUUGGUAGUGGAAUCUGUUUCUCUAAUGAUUUUUAAACGAUAUUCAGAUAAUUUUAAUCCUUCGUUUAGAGCGACCUGCAAAAAGAUGUGUUCUCUUCGUCACGAUGGGAAUUUCAGAGGAAAGCAAGAAAAUUUGACGUCAUAAUCGAAUUUUGACCAAUGAAGAACUGAGAUCAAACGAACCACACGUUGAUUAAAUGAAAAUAAUCAACAGGUCAGGAAAAGGACAAAUCGAAUAAGAAUUAGAGAAUAAUAAUUCUUUUACUAGUCUCUUAUAAUUCUUAAUAGACUUGCACUUUUAUACGUUUUUUUGUUUUGCAUUGAAGAUAAUGAUACCUUAAACGGUUAGUUUUAACAUAUACUUUGUGUGAUAUAUUAUAUACGUGCAGUGUGCAAAUUUUUUUAUUAUACAAGUGAUGAGGCUUUUAUAAAAUAUUGAAUAAGAAUCUAGUAUUAUAUGUUUGGAAAUAAAGAUUGAUUGAU